Molecule: transfer RNA, 56 nt
Filed under: Pelotomaculum sp.
Lineage: Bacteria; Bacillati; Bacillota; Clostridia; Eubacteriales; Desulfotomaculaceae
Description: tRNA-Ser
Rfam family: tRNA
About the family: Transfer RNA (tRNA) molecules are approximately 80 nucleotides in length. Their secondary structure includes four short double-helical elements and three loops (D, anti-codon, and T loops).
Source: RNAcentral
AGAGCACCUGACUUUUAAUCAGGGUGUCCCGCGUUCGAGUCGCGGAUGGCUCACCA